Long non-coding RNA from Hyaena hyaena (striped hyena), 485 nucleotides. RefSeq lists it as uncharacterized. The record is from RefSeq and is a predicted model, not a curated record. The transcript has 3 exons. Lineage: Eukaryota; Metazoa; Chordata; Mammalia; Carnivora; Hyaenidae.
GUGACACAGGGCACCAACCAGGACUGGCCAUAUUGCUAAAGCAGCCUUCUGGAGGCCCCUGUUGUGCCAGGAAGCCAAGCCUUUGGAUUCAGACCGACCUGGGUCCAGGAGUUCAAAUGAUGCAACAGGAUAUUAUCUCUCUCCUUCCGGAUUCUGCUUUCUUCUGUAUUGGCUCCGUCCUCAACAAUCUCUCUCCAUGUAGUGGCAAAAUGUUACCCUGCAAGUCCUUUACAUCUAUGACCUCAGAAGGGAAAUGACUCCUUCACAAUAAUUCCAGCAAAAUUCCCAUGGAGGAGAAUUCCUCACCCACUGUCCUACUGUGUCAUAAGAAGGAGCAUUGGAAGGAGACUUCUAAGGAAUGGGCAGCUUAUUGCACUUUCCAUGACAUCAGUGUACUACAGAAAUUGUCUUCAGGUUUGAGCAUUCAUGAGGCGCCAUUUGCCUGGACUGAAGUGCCUCUGACAAUACAAACCCCUUAAAACACU